UACGAAGGGUGCUAGCGUUGUUCGGAAUUAUUGGGCGUAAAGCGUGCGUAGGCGGCUUAAUAAGUCAGCUGUGAAAGCCCAGGGCUUAACCUUGGAAUUGCAGUUGAAACUAUUAUGCUAGAGUAUGGCGGGGGAUAGUGGAAUUCUUAGUGUAGGGGUGAAAUCCGUAGAUAUUAAGAGGAACACCAGUGGCGAAAGCGACUAUCUACACCAUUACUGACGCUGAGGUACGAAAGCGUGGGGAGCAAACAGG
Molecule: ribosomal RNA, 253 nt
Filed under: uncultured bacterium
Lineage: Bacteria
Description: partial 16S ribosomal RNA
Rfam family: Bacterial small subunit ribosomal RNA
Source: RNAcentral